Molecule: long non-coding RNA, 571 nt
Organism: Rattus norvegicus (Norway rat)
Lineage: Eukaryota; Metazoa; Chordata; Mammalia; Rodentia; Muridae
Source: RefSeq, a predicted model, not a curated record
UAGAGUUUGACCAUAGGACCUCAAAGCCCAUCCUCACAGUGAUGCACUUCUUCCAACAAGGCCAUACAUCCUAAUAGUGCCACUUCCAAUGAGCCAAGCAUAUUCAAACCACCACAGGAAGCAAAGUUGAAUGAGGUCAUAAUGCUGAGGUCAUAAUCUGAUAGGAUCCAUGUGUCUAUAUGUAUGCAUAAAAGAAAGGCCAUAAACACACUGUGGGAAGGUAGCCAUCUACAGGAGAGAAAAAGAUGCCUCACCAGAACCAAACCAUGCUGGCAAACAGCUCCAGUCCAACUGACAGUUGGGAUGAGAACCAGCCUAAGAAAGGAGAGCACAAGAUGGGGCUUCAAGACUUGAUUCAUGUGCAUACUGCUGGGAGUGAUGACCCGGGUCACAUUGGAAGAUUGUGUAUGCACAUAAGCAAUCCCUGGCAUGUGACAGCAGCCCAAACAUUAAGACAUUUGUCACGUUUCAGAUAAAAUAUUCUAGUAGGGAGAGUACAUUCUGGAAGAAUGAUUCAAAUAUUUUAAGUCCAUAUAAAUGACAUUAUAAAAAUAAAGAAAAUGGAAUUUCA